RNAcentral lists this ribosomal RNA (654 nucleotides) under uncultured archaeon. RNAcentral's name for it is "bacterial SSU rRNA". It matches the Rfam family "Archaeal small subunit ribosomal RNA", at positions 508 to 1160 of the family's 1478-position model. The record is from RNAcentral.
GCCUAAAGCGUCCGUAGCCUGUUCUAUAAGUUUCCGGUUAAAUCCAUUAGCUCAACUAAUGGGCCGCCGAAAAUACUGUAGAACUAGGGAGUGGGAGAGGUAGACGGUAUUCGGUAGGAAGGGGUAAAAUCCUUUGAUCUAUUGAGGACCACCUGUGGCGAAGGCGGUCUACCAGAACACGUUCGACGGUGAGGGAUGAAAGCUGGGGGAGCAAACCGGAUUAGAUACCCGGGUAGUCCCAGCUGUAAACUAUGCAAACUCAGUGAUGCAUUGGCUUGUGGCCAGUGCAGUGCCGCAGAGAAGUCGUUAAGUUUGCCGCCUGGGAAGUACGUACGCAAGUAUGAAACUUAAAGGAAUUGGCGGGGGAGCACCACAAGGGGUGAAGCCUGCGGUUCAAUUGGAGUCAACGCCAGAAAUCUUACCCGGAGAGACAGCAGAAUGAAGGUCAAGCUGAAGACUUUACCAGACAAGCUGAGAAGUGGUGCAUGGCCGUCGCCAGCUCGUGCCGUGAGGUGUCCUGUUAAGUCAGGUAACGAGCGAGAUCCCUACCUCUAGUUGCCACCAUUACUCUCAGGAGUAGUGGGGCGAAUUAGCGGGACUGCCGCAGUUAAUGCGGAGGAAGGAGGGGGCCACGGCAGGUCAGUAUGCCCCGAA